CUUGCAGGCCAGGCCCUUUCCCAGUACCCAUCGACACAGACUGAAGACUGGCAGGAGACAGGCCUCAGACCUGUAAUUCUGGGAGUUCCAUGGAAGGCUUGGUCAGAUACGCCCAGCUGGGAACACUUGGUACACAGUGAAGAGGCCCAUGAGUUCUACCCUCCAGGCACAGUGGCACUCGGAGCCUCAGAAUGGUUCAAUAGGAACAGCCCCAGAACCAUUCUUCUUCAGCACAGAUCUAGCCAGGCCAUCCCCCGACUCAACUGCUCCAACAGCUCCAACAGCUCCCAGCCCAAGCUCCGUUCCCUGCACCAACUGCCCCACCUUGCCUCCUGGACCUGCUUGCCCCACGGCUACAUGCUGCACAGCGCAGCCUCCUUUAUUGCUGCCCUGCCAGAGAGGCCUGCCUGGCAUCCUCCCCUCCUGGAUCACUGUCCUGUGCUCCUUGAAGGGAGGCCCUGGGCAGAGGCCAUGGCCCACCUGCAGGUCUGCCCAACUGCUCUGCAUACUAUGGGAGAAAGAACAAAACAAGGACCCUUUUCACUUGCUACCAAGACCAGGAAGUUCCUCCUCACACCUGCUGUGCCAGGCUGGACUACUGGCUCUGACCACUGCCUAGGCUGCAAGAUUACCCAGGCCCCUGCCAAGUGGCCAAGGGCCCUCUGCCAGAGGAGCUUCCCUUGGGAGCCCUCACCCAGCUAAGGCCCACUUUCUUCCUAAAACUGGUGCAUGGGUAGAUGGGAAGCGGGUGGGAGAGGCAUGUGAACUGGGGAACAACAGCUUUUCACUCCCCUCACCCACCACAAUGGUCAGCUUGCAGGAUCCACCAAUCAAGGGUUACACUAUACCAUAUGCAACAAUGAACUAAAAAUGGAGCAGAUACUUCAAUGCAAGAACAAAAGCUAUAAAAUGCAUGGAAGACCAAGGAUAAAAGCCCCAUAACACUGGAUUUAGCAACCACUUCUUGGAUAUGACACCAAAAGCACAAGCAACAACAACAAAAUAAACUAGACUUCAUCAAAAUUGAACCUUUGUAUAUCUAAGGACACUAACAAGAGAGUGAAAAGGUAACCCAGGGAAAGGAAGGGAAUACUUGAAAAUCACAUAGCUGAUAUCUAGAAUAAAGAGCUCCUAAAACUUAACAACAAAAAACAAAAAUAGACAAAGGAUGUGAAUAUACAUUUCUCCAAAGGAGAUAUACAAAUGGCCAAGACACACAUAAAAAGGUGCUUGACACGUUUUGUCAUUAGAAUAUGCAAGUCACCUAGCACUUCAGAAGGCCAAAGUAGAAUAGCUUGAGGCCAGAAGUUUGAGACCAACCUGGGCAAGAUAAUGAAACCUCAUCUCUAAAAAAAUAAAAAAAAAAAAACAAAUAGCCAGGUGUAGUGUUUCUACAGUCCCAGUAUACACAGGAGCAAGGAGGAUCCCUUGAGCCCAGGAGUUUGAGGUUGCAGUGAGCUGUGAUGGCACCACUGUACUUCAACCUGGGCAAAAGAGUGAGACCCUGUCUCUUAAGGAAAAAAAAAAAAAAAGAAAGAAAAGAAAAUGCAAAUCAAAUCAGCCAAGUCACACUCACUAGGGUAGAAAUUAUUUAAAAAAAAAAACCAGAAAACUACAAGUGUUGGUGAGGACAUGGAACAACUGGAACCAUGGUACAGCCAAUCUGAACAGCAGUAUGGAGCAUCCUCAAAAAAUUAAACCGGAUUUUAUAGAUUUGCUGUUUCAUUCAGCAAUUCCACUUGUAGGUAUAUACCCAGAGGAAUUGAAUGUAGGGACUCAAGCAGAUAUUUGUACAUCCAUGUUCCAUGGCAGCAUUAUUCACAAUAGUCAAGAGGUGGAAGCAACUCCAGUGUCCACCAAUAGAUGGAAUGAAUAAACAAACUGUAGUAUGUACCUACACUACAAUAUAAUACAGCCAUAAAAUGAAAUAAAAUUUUGGUAUGUGCCAUUCUACAGAUGAAUCUUGAAAACAUUAUGCUAAGUGCAAUAAGCCAGUCACAAAAGGACAGAUAUUGUAUGAUUCUACUUACGUGAGGUACCCAAAGUAGUCAAAUUCAUAGAGAGUAGAAUGGUGGUUGCCAGGGUGAGAACAGGUACUGCCAAACUUCUUUUUUAAAAUUUUGUACAUGACCUAUACCCCAGCUACUUCUCUCUGAUAUUUCUGUACCUGUCUUCAUAGAAAACAGACCCUUUAGGGCUAUACUGCUAGUGAUGGACUCAGAUGGGGAGGGCAGCAGGGAUGCCAGUCAGUGAAGGAAGAGACUGCAGGACAGGCCAGGAGCUGUCUGCAAGAGCAGUCCCAAGUUCCCACCCCCAGGGCAUGAAACAGUUCCAGCCCCAACCCAGAGGAGUCCCCAAGUGGACAGCUCCCAAAGCUCAUGGGAGCUAGUGAGACCUCAAGUUCCAUCCCAGCUGUCUGAGUUAGGAGGGCCGCUGGGAGAGAGCUCAGAACUGAGAACACCUCAUUGGCCUCCUGUGGCCAGGAAGAAAGGACAGAGUAAAUUUGCUAUGUCACCAGCAGAAAUGCCCAGCCUCUCCCAAGGCCCAUGUGCCUCUGAGUGGGGAUGGGACACCAUACAUGCACAGCCUCAGAGCUGCCCCAUCCUCCCCCCACCUAGUGCCACUGGCUGCCCUGAAAUGCCUUUGUCCAGAGGCACCAACCCACAGCCAAGUUACAGCCCUGUCCUCAGGAGGCUAUCCUCCUCCUGCAGAGCUGGGCUCCCCUUAAAAGGGAAGAGGGGAGGAGUCUGAGAAUAAGUGGAACUCAGUUCAUCAGAGCGAUGAACCAUGCAGAGGGUCCUGAGUGAGCCCCACAGGAGCAGACAGCAGGAGCCAGGGCUGUUCCACAUAUAGAGAACAGAAACCACCAGGGAGGGGCUAGGGCUAUGGGGCAGGACCACCAUCCCCCAAAUCUUUUAACUCCAUGGCAUCCACUGGACAUCAGGCUUGGGAUCACAGUGAUGAGGAAGACAUGGAGCCUGCCACAGACUUCAUGAUCCGGGAGGAAAAGACACAACCGCUGAGAGAUGAGCACUUGUGGGAUGCAGGGGCAAGGAGGCCUGGUUUGGAAGAUUCAGAUCUCUUAAGGUGGCUCCAGACACAAGACUUGAGACUUGUCCUGGGAGAUCCCGACAGAAAGAGCUAGGUCCAUGGAGCAGGAGGGCAGAGAUAAGAGUUCAGCUGGAGACAAGAAAGGGGGGUUACCCAGGCCUUUCACCAAACACGUUCUGUCCAACAAGUGUGAGGUGCAUUGCUGCCACUGCAUACACAGGGACACCAGCUGGACAAGCGCAGCAGCAUGCCUAAGGUGGACCACGCUGCCCGCAGCCCCCGCACACCUGGUGAACAUUAUUAUUUACCCAGCAACUGCUCUGUGCAGUGCCAAUGACCAUCAUGUGACAAUGAACAAAACUGAUGAAACCUGGUCUGGACGGCUGCCCUUCCAGAGCAGUCAGGCAAGCUCCACAAAUAGCAGGGUGGGUAGCAUGCCACAAAGUGGGGAAUGGCCUCAGUGAGAAACCUGCAGACACAGUAGGAGAGGCCUUCUGGGGACAGAGUGAGUGAGCAGUGCUGGGGAAGGUGACCCCGCUCGAGGGAGCCUGGGCACGGGUCUGACCAGACAUCACACUCAGGAAGUUAGGAGGCUGCCUGACAGCCAAGUCAGUUUGCAGUUCCUACUUGGUCCUGCUGCCUUUGUUUAACAGGCAGAAGAGUAUGAACAAGUCCUACAACUAUAGAACACGUGGUCCUGAGAGGGACGCCAGCUUCAGCCUCCAUAGCUGUUCCCCAGCACAGUCUCUCAGGUGUCACCUGUUGCCAGGUCUCCCUCCUCAACAGAAGCAGAAAACAGAGCCCCCUGGACACAUGGGCCAGCAGGCAGAUGCCCAGGCCACAGGGAAGAUGGUGGAAAGCCCCUGGCAAGGCUCCUGUCAUGGCCUGAGCCCCCACUUCCUAGCUUUCCUCUCAUGACCUGGGCCCCCAGGCCUGCCUCAGGAUAUCUGCCAGGGGCCUCCAUGGCCAGGGUGCUGGUCAUCCCUGUCCUUAAGGGCAAGUCUACUGGCACCUCCUUUCCAGGUCUUUCUUGGAAACUUGGCCUAGAGUGGCUUCCUCUCUGAGUCACUAUGGUACUUUUUUAUUUUUAUCUUUUUCAAACUUUUUUUCUUGGUAUUGUUCCUUGUGGAGUAGGCACCCCCCACCCAUAGGCACUGUGCCUAGAGGAUUUUUUUUUUGUUUUUUAAACUUUUAAAAUAACCUUUUAAUUUCAGAAUAGAUUUAGAUUUACAGAAAAGUUGAGAAGAGAGCGUGAAGAGUUCUCCUAUACCCCUCACCCAGUUUACCCUGUUAUUAAGACCUUACCUCAGUGCAGUGCAUUUGCUACAAUAAAUAAACCAGUACUGACCUGUUAUUAACUAAAGCUCACACCUCAUUCAGCACAACUUGAUUCAGCUGACCUCAGCUUGCAUCUAUUAUCCUCUUCCUGCUCCAGGAUCCCACUCAGGACCUGCAUCACAUUAAGUGCCCUGUCCCAAGGUUCCUUUCAGCUAUGACAGUUUCUCAGACUUUCUGUGUUUGGGCGACCUUGAUGGUUUUGAGGAAUGCUGGUCAGGUGUGUUACAGAUUGCACUUCAAUUUGGGUUUGUCUGAUGUUGUUCUCAUGAUUAUACUGUGGUUGUAUGUUUUAGGACGGACAAUCACAGAGGUGACGUCCCCUUAUCUGCCCAUCCUUUAAGGCUUCAUGACUGAUCAUUGUUGAUGAUGAACUUGAGUGCCUGGCAGGGGUCAUGACUGUCAGUUUCUCUGCUGCAAAGCUCCUCCCCACCCCUGUGCUCUCUGGAAGGAAGUUACCACUCAAACGGAGUGGGGAGCUAUGGUCAUCUCCUUAAGGAGGAGUAGCUGCAUAAAUUACCUGGAAUUCUGCACAGGACAUUUUGUCUCUUCCUUUUUCUUUCUUUCUUUGCUAAAUCAUUUAUUUAUUUAGCAAAGAAAUAAAUAAUUAUUUCCUUCCCAUUUCUUUCUUUGCUAAAUCAUUUCCUUAUGCCAAUAUGAACUUGUGGCUAUUUUAUACUUUGGAUUAUAAUUUGUCUUAGUCUGUUUUGUGCUGCUAUAAAAGAAUACCCGAAGGUGGGUCAUCUACAAAGAAAAAAAGGGUUAUGUGGCUCACAAUUCUGGAUGGCUAAAAAUUUCAAGAUUGGCCAUCUCAUCGGGUGAGGCCCUUGCGCUGCUCUACUCACGGUGGAAGGCAAAUGGGCACCGGUGUGUGCAGAGAGCACAUGGCAAGAGAGGAGGGCGAGAGUGAGAAGGAAGCUGCCAGGCACUUUUUAACAACCAGUUCUCAAGGAAACUAACAGAGUAAAAAAUCCACUUGCACUCCUACCCAGGGCAUUGAACUACUCAUGAGGGAUCUUCCCUCAAGACCCAAACACCUCCCAUCUAGGCCCCACCUCCACACUGGGGAACAAAUUUCAACAUGAGAUUUGGAGGAGACAAACAUCUACACUACACCAUAAUCCAACAUUAAACUAUUUAUUUUGUUGCCCAAAUUGUUCCAUCUUUGGCCACUGGGGGCUUUUCAGCCAGCUUCUAUGUACCCCUGACCUACCGCCAUCUGCAUGUGCACCUGUACAGUCUCAAAGCACUUCCUGGCACUACAAGGUGCUUCAUGUACCUUUAGGGUAUAUUUCCUGUCCCAGCCCUAGAAUCAACCAUUUCUUCCAGAAGCCUUGGUUCACUUUUAUUGCGAAGUGCCAUUUAAAUUCAAGAUCUGGGUGACAGGUGAGCUCAUUGCUUUGCAGGCCUCAUGGCAUCAUCUUCUUCUUUUUUUUUUUUUUUUUAAGACAGAGUCUUACUGUGUUGCCCAGGCUGGAAUGCAGUGGUGCGAUCUCGGCUCACUGCAACCUUUGCCUCCUGGGUUCAAGCAAUUCUCCUGCCUUAGCCUCCUGAGUAGCUGGGACUAUGGGUGUGUGCCAACAAGCCCAGCUAAUUUUUGUCCUUUUAGCAGAGACGGGGUUUCACCAUAUUGGUCAGGCUGGUCUCAAACUUCUGACCUUGUGAUCUGCCUGCCUCGGCCUCCCAAAGUGUUAGGAUUACGGGCGUGAGCCACUGCUCCUGGCCAGGUCUCAAGGCUUCUAGUCCCUCUCCGCUAAUGGAUCAAGGAAACAAAAGUAUAUAUAACCUGUGUAUACCACAUAUCUAUAAUCACUUCUUUCUGUAUCCUUAAGUAUCUUUAUUAAAGUCUCUAUCAACCAAACACACUAGUACCUCUGUGGAUCACUCUAGCCUCCUUCCCUUGCCUACCUGUUCCUUGUCACUGCAUGUAGCAGUGGCUCCUGCCACCUGCUGUCCAUUUGCUUAACUGUUCAACCCCAGUACACACGCAUGGUGGUCUCAAAAGUGUCAGUACCCCUGUGGGAGAACUGCUUCCCCUUGAACACAGAGCCUAUAAAUGGCUCUUCUGGCCUCCAAGUUUGCAGAUUCCACUCCGCUAAAAAGGUGCACACUUCCUUUUACCCCACUGCCUGGAAGUCCCUCUGGUGAAUUCUCAGAGAAGAACUUGCCAUGGUGCUCUAUAUACCUAUGAGCUCAGCAGUGGGUAGAACAGAUUUUAGUUGAGUAUUUUAUACCUUCGCCAUGAGUUUUUGAGACCUUUUCAAGGCAUGUUUGGAUAAGAAAUGAGGGGAAAAACAGUGGCGAGGAUAAGGAGAGGACACAGAGGAAAAGGGAGAGAAGGGGGCUAAGGGCCCUUCAGCCUGUCUGGGUGCUUUCAAAAAUCUGUGGACCAGGGUCAGGGGAAGAAGUUGUGCUAGAGAAGAGGCAGCGCUGGCACACAGGCAGGCGGAGUGCUGCUGCUGGUGGCCUCAGAUGGAGCUUCCUGUGUCCCAGCCUGCCUGGUCUCCAAGUCCACCUGAGCCUGAGAGGGAGAGAGCACUGCUUUGCCACAUGGCAUAACUGCCUUUUCUGCCCAAAGGCCUGCCAGGCAGAUGUAGAGAAAGCAAGCUGUUUUUGCUACAGUAAGACUGAAAGCAAUGCAGCUAUGAGGCCCAUAACAUUCACCCAGCCCCAGCCCCAGCACCCUCCUGGUCACUCCUAGGGGAUCUAAAGCAGAGAAAAGCAACUUCAGGGGUCCCAGACCUCUCUAGAGGCUAGAGACAAAGGCCAGCUGGCUUAAAAUGGAAGGUUUUAAAGCUUAAAGCAAUGGUUCCAAACUUUUGCUGAAUAAUGGAAUCGCCUGGUAAGAUUUCAAAAUAGAGGUUCCAUGCCCAGAGACUCAGAUUUAAAUUCUCUGGGGUAGGGCUAGGGCAUAGGAAUUCUUAAAAGCUUCUUUAGUGUUUCUAAUGUCUAGCCAAGGCUGGGAACCACUGCCUCAAAGGGAAACCUUGGUCUCUAUUUGAUGCCAGAGGCUUGGCUCUGAUGGCUGUCUGUCCGUCCCAGCCUGGCUACCCAGCUGUACUAAGUCACUUACAGCUUUUUGAUGGGCCAAAGAGGGCCUGAUGAAAGCAAAGAAAAACAGAAAUGUGCAGACAAAAUGCAGCUGUAAAGAGCCUGCUGGCAGUGGGGGUGAAUGGACACACUAGAGCUAUGAUUUCAUUAAAUGCUUGGGGGCAGUACCCUGGAAGGCCAUGCCAGUCACAGGAAAGAAAACAAAACCUUCAGGCAGCCUGAGGGACAAGGCAGCAGGGAGGCCGUCCUUCUCCAGCAGGCCUAGGAAACAGGAAGAGGUGGUGCCUGUGUAAGGCAACUGCUCUGUCUACAGGGAAAUGGCCCUUGCAGGUGUGUGAGGUGGGAGAUGUGGAGAGAGCUCCAGGGAGGCCCCUGAGUAGUGAGCAGCCUCUGCAGCCCUGGCCCUAAGCUGGCACACCAUGGGCUCUCAUACAUGCACCUUCUUGCCAAACACUUUCAGACCCAGAGGGCAGCAGGCAGGCACAGAGGAAUCCACGCAAGCUGGAAGCCCAAAGGACUUCAAAUCACCUGCUGGGGAGAAACUCAAGAUUCCAAACCAGCCAGAGAGAUGGGAACUCAAGAAUGAGCUCAAGACACAACAGGAAUCUCUGGGUUUCCCCAGCCUUUAGGGUCUCAGACACAAAGGGGACAAAGGAGGGUAAGGAUGGCCCUUUAGCAGGUGAUGUGCAGGACCAGCCUGGGCCUGUGUGCCAAAUCCAUUUGAAUACAGGUCAGGCCACAGCCCUCCUUGCUGCCCGCCAGGACACUGGACUCCAGAGGAAGCUGCUAUGUGAGAUGAUGCAGAUGUCUGCCUGCCCAACAGCAUCAGGCUCACAAGGCACUUGCCAGCCCCAAAUCUUCUAAGGACAGGUCUUGUGCCCAAAUGCCAGAUACUGAAGCAACCUGAAUAGCACCCAGCCUCUGUCUGGCUCCUGCUCCCCACAUCUACCCGAACAUGGCAGCAGCCUCGAAGUCCCCGCCCUGCCCAGGAGCUGAGGUUCCUUCCUGAGGACUCAUGGGGUUUGUCACUGGGAGUAACUGAGCUUCCUGGCUGUAAGUCCAGAACCCUGGAAGAAGCACCCUGUUGUUCUCAGAACUGAUUCACAGAGAAAACCCACAAACACCAACACUGUCACUCUAAAGGCAGGAGCGGGGGCUAGAGCCCAUUAAAUCCUGACACUCUCCAGGCUACACUUUGAAAGGACAGGAGCAGGAGCUAAGAAUCAACCAAAUGUGUUGUAGAGAAAAUGUUCCUUGAGAAGGGGGUAUGACAUUAAGUUCCUCUUUGGCUUAUUUUCUGCUUCCAAAGACUUCCCAACCCAAUAAAAUAACUAUUAAGAACUGAGAUUGAGAUCCUCAGCCAGCAUUCCAGGAAGGCCAGCAUCUGGGAAAGAAGUCCUUAUCUUGGAUGCUCUCAUCUGCCUCUCUCCCACUGGGAAUUCCCAAUCUGCUUCUCAGAAAUCCAGCUUGUUAUGGGAGCUCUGUAUCAACAGUGAUGUUUGAACUUCCAUCCUUACAGCCUGCCACUCCCACCUUGUCCUUCCAAGGUUGAGAAUAGGUACAGUUGGUCAGUUAUGAUGGCACAGUGGCAAUUUCUUUCCACAUGUGGGUCUUUUUCCCUUGUGUUCAGCCCUGACCCACCCAUCUUCUGGGACUGACGUACCUUCCAGACUAAACAGCUCUCCAUCCCAGAUCUCUCCACUGGGUCUGGCCAGCCUUCACCGGUCAACACCAUUGAGGGACUCAAGAGGACCCGGUUUUGGAAGGAGGAGAGGGAACACUACAUGGAUCCUGCCUGGUGGGUAAAGUCCAGGUCUCAAAGAUCCCAAGCUCUGUGAAGGGUGGGCUCUGGGGUGCUCUUGGCACCCUCUCUCAGAAGUGGUGGAGGCCAACUAUCUUAAGAUCACAGAUGCUGCCCACACCAGGCUUGGCAUGUUUCUGCUGCUGCCUGCUCAGGAUAAAGUUCUCUGGGCAGAGGGGCUUCUACAAGUCGACCACAAAGGGUGAAGAAGCAGAAACACUGAGACAUGGCCACAGACUCACUAGAAAAGACCAAGAGUGUAGGAAUCAGUUUCCUUUCACCUGUUCAGUCACUCAGUGGACAGUGGGAUACUGGGCACCUCUGCUGUGUUGGGCACUGGCAGGGCUGAGAGAGACAUGGUGGUGAGCCCACCCCGUGUGUUGCAGCAACACUCUGCAGACACUUUGCCCUGGCCAAGCUCCCACGCCCACCUGGAGAUGCCGUGUUUCCUGAUCAUGGCACUGGCUACAAAGGUGUGGUCAGUCUGUGAAGCUUCAUCAAGCUGAACCUAUGAUGUGAAUGUUCUGUCUUAUGGCUUACCGCAAUAAAGUUUCUUUAAAAAGCCUCCUUUUGAGUGGUAGAUGUCCUAUAUGGGGUGGGAACGGCUAUUUUAAAGAUAAAAACCCUAAGCUGUAUUGAAAGGAAGGCCCUGCCUUGGCCAUCAGGCUGGUAAUGGCUGAGAUGGAAGUAGGGCCCAAAUCAGACCCCCUUCCCAUAGCCCUGGAGUCACACUGUUUUCAGCCCUUACUGGAAAGCAUCUCAUUAUAGAACUUCGGAUAAUCAGAGACAGCAUCUCUCACAAAACCACCGGUGAGUGAGUGCCUGCCCUUCUCUGCCUCAGUGGGCUGACUCAAUGGCAAAGGGACCCAUCCAUCUCUGAGGUGAGACCUUUCCUGUCUUGAGUGCCUCCAAGCCAAGGCGAACAGGGACCUCACCCCUACCCCCUUCUUACAGGGAGAGAGCAGUCCUGCCCCAGUUAAGAGGGGGAAUGGAGGGGUCCCACCCAGUUUCAAGACUGACUCCACAUCCCUAGGAGUGUGGGUGUAGAAAGAUGUAUGACCUCACAACAGCAAUGGGCAACCCUGGACUCCUAGGAGACUGUUGGCCAGGGAAGAACAAUGGGUGCUGACCAAGGCCUGCAGUGAAGAAGUCCAACAGCAUCCCUGUUGGGCCCUCAACCCAUACCACCAUACCACCAGGAGGAAGCAAUGCCCAUCCCAGGUUCCACUGAAUGGGAUUAGUGUCUACUUCAGGAUGAACAACAAAAGUCUAUUUGUAGGCUUCUGUGUGAGGUUUACAUAAACCUAAAGUGGGCUAACUGUGACAGGGAAGAUAGGAGAAAGUAGCAAACACACCCAGUGGAUACCUGGGACCACUCUACCAAAGCACCUGGAAGCAACAAGGCCCCUCUCAACUCCACCACAUGCCAACCCUCCCCAAACCAAGAAGAACCCCAACAGAGAAACCUGAACAAGUGCCCACACUGGGCCCCAGAGUGAGCUCAGGGCAAAAAUGAAGCAGGGGCUUAAGGACAAAGCUGGUGGCCCAUACCACUGAGCCAAAGGCCCACACUUUCGUGAAAGAUGGAAGGGAGACGGGAAGGGUGGGUGCUCCGAAGGGAGGCAAUGGCUCCCUGCAGCAAGCUAGCUGGCAUGGCACUGAAACCUCAUGGGUAGCUGAGAGGGAGGCAAGGAGAAGACGCAGUAGAAAGAAAACAAUCAGGGGUCUGCCUGUGACACAGGACAGGUAAUCAGCUAGCAGCCAGGGGCAGGUGACAGGGACAAAAGGAAGGACAGGGAAACAGUUCUGCCUUCGUGGCUCCUUACCUAGGCUUGAAUGCAACCUUGGACUGGUCAGCAGGAAAGAAGGAUGAAAGACAUAGCCACCCAGCCGGCAGGAACAACAAUCCUUGCCACCCACCUUCAUGCCACAUCUCCUUUACUGGUGCGACACAGAAGUAAUUCUCUAUCAGGAAAAGAAAAAUGUUCUGUUGGUUCACCAACAACUCACUCACAGCCAAAGGCUCUAUGCAGCAGCACCCCAUGGUCAUGCAGCCUGGUACACUGCUGUAUGCGCAUCCAGAAAAUAGUUGCUCACGUCCAUGAGCCACGGGGGCUGGGAUCAUGUUAGAUGAUGCAGGCACAUGAUCACAUAGCAGUGGGACAACUCGGACUCUCUAGUCACAGUUUUCCUCAUCUGUAUAAUGGAGUGGUUUCCUCACUUAUCAAAAGAUGGGUGAAUCCUACUACUUGGCGUUGGGACCCUGGUGCCUGGCUCCAGCAGGAAACUUCCAGCGGCCCACUCUUGACAGAAGCAGCGCAGAAAGGGCUUACGCCGCCCAUCUUCAGAGGAGAAAGAGGAUGCCAUGGGGAAUAUGGUGGAAAAAGCAACAAGAUGGUACAGGCAGUCAAACAAAGGAAGCCAGGCAGGGCUCAGGGAGAUCUCCAAACCUCUGCUGCCUUGGGGGAUGAAGUCAAGAGAACUCCUGGCUCUGUGCUCCCCUGUGGCUGACACGCUCCACAGGUGUCGGCCACCUGACAGCGUUACUGCCCAUCGCCUGGCAGAGGAGUAAAGACCUGCUCCAGUUCAUCCUAGCAUAUCUGAGAUCUUCAAACAUUAACCAGGUUAACUGUGAAACAUCCUCAGGGAGUUCCUUCAGGUUUCCAGAAGGCAUUAUUUCAUAGGAGAUGACAGCUCCGUGCCUGUUACUGCCCCCGAAGACCUUCAGUGGGAAAAGAUGUGGAGGUGGAGAACAGUGAUGCUGAUGAUCCUGACCCUGCUUAGGCUUAAGUGAAUGGUCUCUCACUGUCACCCAGGCUGGAGUGCAGUGGCGUAAUCACGGCUCACUGUAGCUUCGACCUCCUGGGCUCCACUGAUCAUCACACCUCAGGAGGACAUCAGCACUCCAGACAGACAUCAGGCCCCAGGUGGACAGCAGGCCCAUGUUGAACACCAGACUCAUGUGGACAUCAGGCUGCAGGGAGACACCAUGCCUUAUAGAUAAGUAGGGUCCAGGUGGAAUUAGACCCAAGGUACACACCCAGUCCCCAGGUGAUCACUAGGACCAGGUGAAGACUCGGGACUUAGGUGCACAUCCAGCCUUAAGUGGAUACCCAGGCCCCAGGCUGAUACCUAGGUCCCAGGUGAUCACCAGAACUCAAGUGGACACCAGGCUUCAGGUGAACAAGACCCAGUAGGCCCUCAGGCCCCAGCUGGAUAUCAGUCCCCAGGUGAACACAAGGCCCAAGUGAGACAUAGGCUCAAGGCAGACAUCAGGCCAUAGGUGGAAAUCAGGCCUCAGGAGGACAUCUGGCCUCUGGUGAACAUAUCAGGCGUAGAUGUCCAAGCACACCCUGGGUGGACUUAACUGUAUACAGGCAAGGAGUUGACCUGGGGGAGAGAGUAAGCAGUCAGCAGCCCACUGGAGUCCUGGGUAGGCCUUAUGGAAGGAAGGGGCCGAAAAAACGAAACCCUAAAGAAUUGACCUCACUUCCUUGACGACAGACCCAAACAGAACUCAGAACUCUGGUAACCAGGCGCCCAUAUCCUGGAGUCAGCCCUGUAGCCAGCUCACUUGGUGGCAGACACUCAAGAGAGCAAGAUGUUCUCAUGCUACAUUCCCACAAAUCGAGGCUCCUGCUUCAAAAAUGGCGGGAGUGAGAGCCUUUUCCGUCGCUGCCGACAAAGGCUCAUCCCUCACCCCAGGCGCCUGUGGCCUUUUGGACACAGGCGCACCCAGGUGCCACAGGGCAGCCCACGGCAGACCCUCGCAAGCCAGGUCUCACUAGAUAGCAUAUCGGAUCCGUAUCUGAAUACUGUCCUUGUCCAGCAGGCAAUUCUGAAGCACAUGGAGGCACAGGCACAUGCUCCUGAAGUACAAGAACUUGAAAUACAAGAACUUCCAGCACCAGCUGUCCAGCCAGAGCCAACUGUAUCAGAGGAGCCCCCCGCAGAGACAUCACCCCUCCUGCCCCUACAUUGGGGCAGCCAAGGACCAUCCCAGCGAGGAGCUGCCUGACGGCCUGCCACCUGCUGCCACCACUGGCCUCAGAGAGGGGGUGGCCAGCACAGCCCCAGCCAGCAGCUCCAACACUGCCCCUAGUCCUGGGCACCCUGGGAGCCAUGGAGGCGGAAACCAGGGUGUGCAGCCUGGGCUCCUCUCCCUCACUGGAGAGAGGCUUCUCUCAUUCAUAAGAGCCACAGUCCUGCUGCUGCAGGAACGCUUCCUUCUGCUGGUGCUGGUGGUAUCUGCAUGGAUGAGGCGCCUGAGAUCAGGAAAAGAAGCCUUCAAGGAAGGGUUCUAGCAGCUCCUCCUGCUCACAGAGGCAGCCUCCUCCUCCAGGCCUGAAGGUCUCUCCACAAGUGGGCAUCUGGGCUGUUUGCCCUGAAAUCCCACCCAGGAUGGCCUCUUCUUAACAGAUGGGCAGGGGGUGAGGGGACCAAGGGGUGAGUCCAACAGGUACAGAAAACAAACCUUCCCAACUCUUGUGCCCUGGGCUCUCCAUGUUGACACCUGCCCUGGCUGGGUUUUCUUCAUAGCUCUAGAAUUAGCAGUUUAUGAAAUAAACUUUUAAAUAAAGUUUGGCUUUUGGAAACUUCACGUCUUUUUUUAACUCUAUAAUGUUAAAUCAUGUUUUUGAGGCUAUCCUGAAAAUCUCUGAUAGUUGUCUUUUUGUUGUGGCUGUUUGGGAGAAUUACCAUUGAAUCAGCUGCUACUAGAAACCUUUCAGGUAUAGCUUUUAGAAGCUCCUGACUUACUUUUGCCUGUUUUGACUCUCUGGUUUAUUGUGGAGAGAGGAAUAAUGUAGUUUCAUUUAUCCGGCAGAUCAAUCAUGUUUGCUGUUAAGAACCUGGCAUUGGCUGGGCGCGGUGGCU
Callithrix jacchus (white-tufted-ear marmoset) is the source of this 14113-nucleotide non-coding RNA. NCBI's taxonomy places the organism in Eukaryota, Metazoa, Chordata, Mammalia, Primates, Cebidae. The record is from RefSeq and is a predicted model, not a curated record.